UGUUUGGGUUCUGUAUUUUUAAAUUCAUCGUUUUGAAAUAUUGGAUCACCCCCAAAAAAAGUCGCAUGGAAUGUCCCUACCCGCGGCAUGGUCUUAUGGUAUGGGGGACAAAGGGGAGGAUUCUCGAACAAAGGAUUCCCCCCCCCCUUCACCACCCCCACAUCUGAAUUGAUUUUAAUUGAAAUUACAGUAUUGUUUGCCUGUCAUUGGCAUUUUCUACCCCAGAAAAUCUUGGAUUGACGUAAGAAUGCAAUCGAUCGGCUUUUUCAACAACUAAUAUCAACCGUCUAAUUGUUACCCUUGAAAAGAUACAUAAUCGUCAAAAACCAAUUGAUAGGAAUAUGACCCUUUUAAUUCUUUGUUGAGAUUGCGAUAUCUGACCGCAUUGGAAAACAAUUGCAUGGAAACUGCAACUGCCUUUUGGAGUAAGAAACAUUGCAUAAUAUUUAAAAAAAAUAGUUGGUUUGCCGAAGGACGAAUGGAAGGAUGCUGCCCGUCUAUUGAAAACAUAUGCUUCAAUUAAACAUGAAAAUUUUGUAACAAAUCUAUUCAUACAUUAUGGAAAUGCGGCCAUUUCAUUUACUCUUUCAUCGUCUGGGCAUGUGGCAGUUCAAAGACCCUGUUGUUGAGUUAGCCAAUGCCGCCCAUGCGGAAGAAAAGGUGAUUUUACUACACCCCAGUUUACCCCACCCGAGGGACUCGUUGGACCAGUCGCUUUGGUAAAUCUCGAGGGAGCUAUUAUAACACACCGGCUUUGACCAGGGACUCGGAACCUAGGGAAGCUGUUACUUCACACGGCGACUGUACACGGCGACUGUACACGGCAGAGUGAGUCAGACGAAGAAUUCAACAAUGUUGUAAUGCCAAAAAUAUCUGAUACCAUGGAAACUAUUGAAAGGCGCUCUAGGAAAAAGAAACAGAUAAAUAUAAAUUAGGAGUGAAAUUGAUUAACACAAAUAUUUAAAAAAAACGAGCAGCAAUUUAGUACAACAUACAUCUUAAUUUAUAAUAUUUACGAACAUAACGUUUAGAACUACUUAAAUAAUGGACAUUUUUUUGUGUUCCUAGGCUGGUUUGGGGUUACUAAUGCUAAAAAAAUUCAAAGAAAAAAUUUUAGUUCAAGAAAAGUUAUUGACGAUACUAAAUGUAAAAUAUUUACAACCCUACAUGACAAUUUUUUUUGUGAAGUAUGUAGGAUUAUGAAAUACAAAAAAAAAAAAAUAAAUGUCAUCAAUUUACCUUUUAUACCUUUGCCUCUUCGUAUUUUUGAGUGUGGAAGUAAAUAAAAGCUCACCAUUUUGCGACACAUUUGUUGUAAAUUUGUUUUGGAAAGAAAAACUUAGAAAGACCCUCAAACUUUAACCGACGAAAAAUUGCCUGCGUCCAAUGGAACGUGCAGCCAUGGAACGAGACCUUUUUAAACACUAAUCGCAUCCCAUUCCAUAUUCCUUUCUCAAAAUCUGAAACGAUUUCUUU
This is a long non-coding RNA of Daphnia pulicaria, 1476 nucleotides long. RefSeq lists it as uncharacterized. The record is from RefSeq and is a predicted model, not a curated record. The transcript is spliced from 3 exons. Lineage: Eukaryota; Metazoa; Arthropoda; Branchiopoda; Diplostraca; Daphniidae.